AGAGAAGAGGAUCAGGGCAUUCCUUCUUUUCCGUUUAAAAAUUGCUGAAAAACUACUAAAUAAAUUAUUUCUGUUUCUCAAAAUAAACAAUUUGCUACCAGCUUUCUUGUGCAAUCCUUUCAGUACCCAAGAUGAAUGAGGCAUGUAUGUCUGAUUGCUUACACAUACAUGACAAAAUGUAAGGAGAACAGUACCCAUGUCAAAUACUGGCAUUUCUUGCUGAAUUCAGGGAGUUUCUCAUUUAUCUUGGCUGUUAGAAACCUGUGUUCUGGCAUCUGAUGGGCAGGGAGGUUCAGAGAUUCUACUUAAACACUGAAUCUCUCCUUAGAGUCAGGUGGUGAGGACCCUACAAGGAGUGCUUCAGAGAACUUAACUGGAAUGCCAGCUUUUCUUCAUAGGCAGGUUGGGCACCAGCAUGAGGAUGGUUUAGCAGCCCUCUUCAAGAGGGCAGAAAGCCAAUUGCUAGGAAGCACUAGGCCUUCAGUGGAGUCUGUAGUAUAUUUAACCUGAUACUUAAUUUGGGUCUCCAAUAUGAGGGUUUAGGCACUUGUCCAGGAGGUGGGAGAUCCAGCCUGUUCAGCAGUGCAUAAGCACCGCUUCUGCUGCCUAUACCCAUGUAGAACCAUGGUGCUCCAGCUGAAAUUUUUGCACAAGAGGCAUACUUACCUUUGUGUUGCUGUAGCAAGCAUAAGAAUUUUAAUCUUUUUUCAAUUUUUAAUUAUGUUUUCUGAAAACUGAGUUCCUUUUUUCCUUUUUUUCUGUCUGCUGUUAGAAAAUUGUGUUAUUUCUUCUGCAUUACUGAAUUACCGCACUAGAAUGCUGAAAUCAUGCAGCUCAGUUGGAAGAUUAAUGAGGUGUCAUUUCUUUUUCCGGAGUACAUUCUAAAAGCUGGAGGUCACAGGAGACAUACACAUUUUAUUAUUAUGGUUUAUAUUUUGCUUUGGGUGAAUAUACUUUAUUUCACUGGGAAUACGACAACAGUACCACCAGUCUCUUCCAGUGAGCUGUUCUCGAUCUGAAUUGUAGACUGUGUUCAGAACUGCAGCAAGCUUGGUGUUCUUGAGCGAUUCUCAAUUCAAGAGAACAUAUGUGCCUUCUUCCAUUUUAGGAAGUUUUUUAAAGGUAUACCAGAACACUGUAAAAUAUAUUCCCUUUGUUCUAUCUGCCAAAACAUGAAAAUACGGUCUUCUUUGAAGACAGUGUUUUGGUCAUUGUUCUUUGGGCAAUUAAUACUGUUCCAACUUUCACAAGUUUUUCUAUCUUUCUUGUAUUGCUAGAAAAAUGUCAUUGUAUAAGAACAUAACCUAUCUACUGGGUCAAGGCAAAAGUCCUUUUAGCCCCACAUCCUGUCUCUGAUGAUGGCAAAAAACAAAUGCUUGGGAAGGAGUGUUAAAAUAGACAAGUAUAUGGUGUUACUUCCUUUGAUAAACCCUUCCACCUUACAGCAGCCUGUGGCUUAAACAUGUCCUGAGAGAAAAACUGCAUCACUGUCUGUGUAUUUAAUAAUCCUUGCUAUAGUUUUUCUUCCAUUACUUUGUCUGAUUGCUUUCUUAAUCCACAGUGUUUGUUUCUUCCAUAAUACUGUAUGACAGCAAAUUCCACCAUUUAAUUGUACAUUGUGUAAAAAACAAUGUUACAGUUUCAAAUGUAGAUUUAAAUUUUCAUAGUGAUAAAUACAUUUAACACCACAUUCUGUCCUGGUCAGUCAGCUGAGAGGGAUAUAGUUGACUAAAUGUUUGUAUGUCUUUAAGAUUUAAUUUUUUCUACCAUAUCCAACGGGUAGACUUUGUUAAUAAGGACUAAAAACUUGCCUUCAGCUACAUCUAACUUAUUUUAUUUAGAAUAUUUAGCUGGGAUGAACCUUUAAUUUCACCUAAAUGAGCCUUUCAGCAUUUGCACAUAACAUCCUCAGCUACUGUAUAGUGGAUAUCAGGACUUUUAGCUUUACAGAGUUUAGGUCAUAGUUGAUUAGAAUACUGUUUUCAGAGAGUUAAUUAAACCAAAAUACAUAUUUCUUGCUGAUAUUUCUAGCUCAGGUUCAUUCUAAAACCUCCAGGUAAAUCGUUUUGCCUGGGGCUUCUGAAGAUGUGUGCAGGCUGAGCUGUCUAACAGACAUGGAGGGCUUAACGGUCAUGCAAAGAUACAGUAAAAUGAAAUUGAUAUAAU
Molecule: long non-coding RNA, 2166 nt
Filed under: Otus sunia (Oriental scops-owl)
Lineage: Eukaryota; Metazoa; Chordata; Aves; Strigiformes; Strigidae
Description: lncRNA (ENSOSUG00000012137.1)
Source: RNAcentral